RNAcentral lists this ribosomal RNA (390 nucleotides) under Trachydactylus hajarensis. Its description in RNAcentral is "partial 12S ribosomal RNA". It matches the Rfam family "Bacterial small subunit ribosomal RNA", at positions 796 to 1382 of the family's 1533-position model. Lineage: Eukaryota; Metazoa; Chordata; Lepidosauria; Squamata; Gekkonidae. The record is from RNAcentral.
CUAGCCUUAAACUUUGAUAGUAAGACCUACUAUCCGCCAGAGAAUUACGAGCGAAAAGCUUAAAACUCAAAAGACUUGACGGUGCCCCAAACCAACCUAGAGGAGCCUGUCCUAUAAUCGAUGACCCGCGCUUUACCCCACCUGCCCUCGCACAAAUCAGCCAGCCUAUAUACCGCCGCCUUCCAGCCUACCUUACAAAAGUAACACAGCAAGCAAAAUAGCCCCUCCGCUAAAACGUCAGGUCAAGGUGUAGCUAAUGGGCAGGAAAGAGAUGGGCUACAUUCUCUACGCACAUAGACCACCACCCCCGGUAUCAUGAAAACAUACCUCAAAGGAGGAUUUAGUAGUAAUUUAGGCAAGACUUCCUAAAUGAAUCCUGCUCUGGGGCGC